CAGCCGCCGCGGUAAUACGAAGGUCCCGAGCGUUGUUCGGAAUCACUGGGCGUAAAGGGAGCGUAGGCGGCGUGGUAAGUCAGAUGUGAAAUCCCGGGGCUCAACCCCGGAACUGCAUCCGAUACUGCCGUGCUAGAGGAUUGGAGAGGUAGCUGGAAUUCUUGGUGUAGCAGUGAAAUGCGUGGAGAUCAAGAGGAACACUCGUGGCGAAAGCGAGCUACUGGACAAUAUCUGACGCUGAGGCUCGAAGGCCAGGGUAGCGAAAGGGAUUAGAUACCCGGGUAGUCCCUGUCUCUUAUAC
Molecule: ribosomal RNA, 301 nt
Filed under: uncultured bacterium
Lineage: Bacteria
Description: partial 16S ribosomal RNA
Rfam family: Bacterial small subunit ribosomal RNA
Source: RNAcentral